GCCUCUGGUGGCUGCCUCCAGUGCACCCUGUCUCAAGAUCUUACAUGUGCCAGUUUUCUACCUGGACUGAUAUGCAGAUAGCUAUGGAAGGAACAAAGCUCUCAUAAACUCUGUGAUCACCUCAGGGAGCCCCACCCCCGCACCAGGGGUCUACAUAAUGCAAUAUGAAGCAAUGAUGGUCUGUCACAGUCUUGCUUGGAAUCACACUUCAAAAGUCAGUUGGUGGCCAAGACAACGGAGAAGGAAGCUUCUAGAAAAAGAAUCACAAAACCCUAUUGCCUAAACACCAGAGUCCCCAUUAUCCACUGAGGCUGAUGUAUCUAUCGCAGAUCAUCUGCUGGAGGCACUGGCUAAGGCACAGAGCAGGUCUGGGGCAUGGAUGCACAACGCUCAAGGCCAUUGAGUUUCCCAAGAUUGAAACAGAAGGAGAGGCCAGGAGGGUGCUGAACAUCGGUGGCUGCAGUGACCUGAACAGACACAUGGACACCAAUGUCCGCCGGAGCGGCAGAUUUCCGAAAGCAACUUAGCCGUCUGUCCACCAACAGAUGGAAAACCAAAAGUGACAUGCACAUUGUUGUGGUCAGGUAUUACAUGUCCUCCACCAGUGCACAUGGAGGGUGUUUUGUCCCCAGAAGGAAGCACUAUUUUGGGAAGUGAGAAACUUCAGGAGCUGGAGAAAGCAUGUCACUGUGGGGUGUGUGUGCCCUUGAAGAGUCCACCGGCACCUACUUUCUCCCCACCUCACCGCGGUUUCCUGGCUACUGUGAUGCUCUUGGUGGCUUUGCUCCACCACGUCUCGCCUGCCGUGAUGGACAGAGGCCUCUGAAAAUGUGAGCUACUCCUUCCUUCCUUAAGUGGCUUCUCUUAGGGCGUUUGUCAGAAGAGAAAGAACAGCACAGAGAUGCAAGGCAGUGCUAGCACACUUUAGAAAGAAUUCUGACACUAGCUGAAACACGACGGAGCUGAACACGAUGUGAAAAGGGAAACUGAGGAAGAAGACACGCAAAGUCACGGAACUGAAGUUCCAAAGGAUUUACCGAUAGGUCUGCGUAGAGACGUUAAACGCACAAAAUAGAGCCUAGCUAAGGGCACGCUGCUUCCAGAACACCCCAAAAGAGGCGGAAUGAAGAAAGGUGGUUACCGGGAGAUGGAAGGAAGGAAAAUAGUUAAUGUCUGAUGAGUCUGGUUUCAACUUGGGAGUGAGACAGUGAGAGACAGGGAAAAUUUAAAAGACACGGGAAGAGAAGAAGCGCUUUACUGUUAGACCUGCUGAGCAGCCAGAACUUCAGCCUAACUGAUAAGGCCCGGAAUUACAUGCAGAGACAAGUUGUCCGAGAGACAGCUCAAGGAUAUUAAAAACAACUAACUAUGCCUAGUCAAGGCGUCUCUCUCAUCCCUACACCUAAACAAUGUGUCUCAUAAACCACCUUACAAUGCCAUGUAUAAA
Myodes glareolus (Bank vole) is the source of this 1447-nucleotide non-coding RNA. The record is from RefSeq and is a predicted model, not a curated record. NCBI's taxonomy places the organism in Eukaryota, Metazoa, Chordata, Mammalia, Rodentia, Cricetidae.